RNAcentral lists this ribosomal RNA (437 nucleotides) under uncultured bacterium. Its description in RNAcentral is "partial 16S ribosomal RNA". It matches the Rfam family "Bacterial small subunit ribosomal RNA", at positions 341 to 792 of the family's 1533-position model. The record is from RNAcentral.
ACGGAAGGCAGCAGUGGGGAAUAUUGGGCAAUGGGCGAAAGCCUGACCCAGCAACGCCGCGUGAGGGAAGAAGGUUUUCGGAUUGUAAACCUCUGUCCUAGGUGACGAAGGAAGUGACGGUAGCCAAGGAGGAAGCCCCGGCUAACUACGUGCCAGCAGCCGCGGUAAUACGUAGGGGGCGAGCGUUGUCCGGAAUGACUGGGCGUAAAGGGCGUGUAGGCGGCCGACUAAGUCUGGAGUGAAAGUCCUGCUUUCAAGGUGGGAAUUGCUUUGGAGACUGGUUGGCUUGAGUGCGGAAGAGGUAAGUGGAAUUCCCAGUGUAGCGGUGAAAUGCGUAGAGAUUGGGAGGAACACCAGUGGCGAAGGCGACUUACUGGGCCGUAACUGACGCUGAGGCGCGAAAGCGUGGGGAGCGAACAGGAUUAGAUACCCUGGUA